AGUGAACGCUGGCGGUAGGCCUAACACAUGCAAGUCGAACGGCAGCACAGGAAAGCUUGCUCUCUGGGUGGCGAGUGGCGGACGGGUGAGGAAUACAUCGGAAUCUACUCUGUCGUGGGGGAUAACGUAGGGAAACUUACGCUAAUACCGCAUACGACCUACGGGUGAAAGCAGGGGAUCUUCGGACCUUGCGCGAUUGAAUGAGCCGAGGUCGGAUUAGCUAAUUGGCGGGGUAAAGGCCCACCAAGGCGACGAUCCGUAGCUGGUCUGAGAGGAUGAUCAGCCACACUGGAACUGAGACACGGUCCAGACUCCUACGGGAGGCAGCAGUGGGGAAUAUUGGACAAUGGGCGCAAGCCUGAUCCAGCCAUACCGCGUGGGUGAAGAAGGCCUUCGGGUUGUAAAGCCCUUUUGUUGGGAAAGAAAUCCAGCUGGCUAAUACCCGGUUGGGAUGACGGUACCCAAAGAAUAAGCACCGGCUAACUUCGUGCCAGCAGCCGCGGUAA
This 506-nucleotide ribosomal RNA is filed under the name uncultured bacterium. RNAcentral's name for it is "partial 16S ribosomal RNA". It matches the Rfam family "Bacterial small subunit ribosomal RNA", at positions 29 to 523 of the family's 1533-position model. The record is from RNAcentral.